GAUGAACGCUGGCGGCGUGCCUAAUACAUGCAAGUCGAGCGAACAGGCGAGGAGCUUGCUCCUCUGACGUUAGCGGCGGACGGGUGAGUAACACGUGGAUAACCUACCUAUAAGACUGGGAUAACUUCGGGAAACCGGAGCUAAUACCGGAUAAUAUAUUGAACCGCAUGGUUCAAUAGUGAAAGACGGUUUUGCUGUCACUUAUAGAUGGAUCCGCGCCGCAUUAGCUAGUUGGUAAGGUAACGGCUUACCAAGGCAACGAUGCGUAGCCAACCUGAUAGGAUGAUCGGCCACACUGGAACUGAGUCACGUUCCAGACUCCAACGGGAGGCAGCAGUAGGUAAUCUCCCGAAAAGUGCGAAAGCCUGACGGAGCAACGCCGAGAGAGUGAUGAAGGUCUACGUGUCGUAAAACUCUGGUAUUAGGGAAGAACAAAUGUGUAAGUAACUAUGCAUGUCUUGACGGUACCAAAACAGAAUGCCACGGCUAACUACGU
RNAcentral lists this ribosomal RNA (496 nucleotides) under uncultured bacterium. Its description in RNAcentral is "partial 16S ribosomal RNA". It matches the Rfam family "Bacterial small subunit ribosomal RNA", at positions 28 to 506 of the family's 1533-position model. The record is from RNAcentral.